UAGGGAAUCUUCNNGCAAUGGACGGAAGUCUGACCGAGCAACGCCGCGUGAGUGAAGAAGGUUUUCGGAUCGUAAAGCUCUGUUGUAAGAGAAGAACGAGUGUGAGAGUGGAAAGUUCACACUGUGACGGUAUCUUACCAGAAAGGGACGGCUAACUACGUGCCAGCAGCCGCGGUAAUACGUAGGUCCCGAGCGUUGUCCGGAUUUAUUGGGCGUAAAGCGAGCGCAGGCGGUUAGAUAAGUCUGAAGUUAAAGGCUGUGGCUUAACCAUAGUACGCUUUGGAAACUGUUUAACUUGAGUGCAAGAGGGGAGAGUGGAAUUCCAUGUGUAGCGGUGAAAUGCGUAGAUAUAUGGAGGAACACCGGUGGCGAAAGCGGCUCUCUGGCUUGUAACUGACGCUGAGGCUCGAAAGCGUGGGGAGCAAACAGGAUUAGAUACCCUGGUAGUCCACGCCGUAAACGAUGAGUGCUAGGUGUUAGACCCUUUCCGGGGUUUAGUGCCGCAGCUAACGCAUUAAGCACUCCGCCUGGGGAGUACGACCGCAAGGNUG
RNAcentral lists this ribosomal RNA (551 nucleotides) under uncultured bacterium. RNAcentral describes it as "bacterial SSU rRNA". It matches the Rfam family "Bacterial small subunit ribosomal RNA", at positions 355 to 896 of the family's 1533-position model. The record is from RNAcentral.